UACGGAGGUGGCAAGCGUUGCUCGGAAUCACUGGGCGUAAAGCGCACGUAGGCGGAUUGCUAAGUCAGGGGUGAAAUCCUGGAGCUCAACUCCAGAACUGCCUUUGAUACUGGCGAUCUUGAGUCCGGGAGAGGUGAGUGGAACUCCGAGUGUAGAGGUGAAAUUCGUAGAUAUUCGGAAGAACACCAGUGGCGAAGGCGGCUCACUGGCCCGGUACUGACGCUGAGGUGCGAAAGCGUGGGGAGCAAACAGG
RNAcentral lists this ribosomal RNA (253 nucleotides) under uncultured bacterium. RNAcentral's name for it is "partial 16S ribosomal RNA". It matches the Rfam family "Bacterial small subunit ribosomal RNA", at positions 524 to 776 of the family's 1533-position model. The record is from RNAcentral.